UUGUAUACGGUCAGCAUUCUCAUUGAAGUGCAUUGCUGUGAGGUACAACAUAAAGGUAAAGUUACUUAUUGUAAGUGUGUAUGUGCUGCAUUUAACACGGUGAUACAGUAGGUAAUGGAUGUCCUUCUAAAAUAAUUUGGAGCUCUAUUCAUAGUUAUAAUCAGGUUUCAUCUUCCAAAAUGGCUUGAGCCCAAAUAGUUACCAUUAUUCCCCUUCCUUCAAACAUUAACAUAUUUAUUGUCUUCGAUCCAUCCAUUAGCCUAGUUAAUUAGCCAAUUAACUAGCAGGUGAAAACAAAGGGAAAACAGAGACAGGAAGUCAACAUAAGCACAUGUACACCCAAGACUAGCCAAGAGUCUUUAGUUGGCGACCUCUAGAGGCCCGGAGGUCCCAAAUCGUGACAGUACCUUUAUAACAUGAUGUAUUUGUGCAUAUGUUUUAGGUCUACCAGGAAUUCAAUAGAGUGAAACCUGAAACAGGAAUUCUGUGUCUCAUUGCACUCAACUUGUUGAAAUCUUCAGGUCAAAGAAAGGCCUCAAGGGCCAAAUCUUGGAUGGUCUUUUGCGACAAAGACAUCGGACAUUACUGACAUCAGAUGCCUUGUGCUGAGAAGACUUCCAGUACGUUUUGAUGAUAACCCAGCUGACUUCAAGGCCUGCUUUGUAAGUUAUAUCACUGGAUUAUAAAUGAUGUUCUCUUACUACACAUCGUACAUUAAAAUAGGCAAUAAUGCAGUCAAGGAUGAGUUAAAUUACAGUAGAUAAGACAUUGUUGGUUCAGUUUAUAACUGAAAGUGUCUAAAAACAUUUUCAAAUACAGUACAUACUAUGUUUUGUAAACGUGCAUCCCGAUUUGAAAACUGUCUAAUCAGGUAAUUUCUCUUUAUAUUCACAAAUCGGUAUCGAAAUAUGUUUGGCUUAAAAACAGAUUUGUACUGUAAUUUACUAUAAGACCUGUAAGCCUUACACUACCAUUUGAAGGUGGCUCAUUUCUUUCAGGUCUUGAACAACACUUUCCAUUUCAUUCAGCAGGUCCUGUUGAGCUUGGGGAAGAAGUAGUUUAAAGGCAAGGUUUUAACUCUGAGAAAUCACCUGGCCAUGUAAGAAGUAAAGGAUGUUCUCGUGUCAAAUAGGCAAAAAGGGGGGACAUUUUGACAAUGACAAUAGCUAAAAUGAUUUUAUUGUUGGUCAGUUGGUCUGUAUAACCUGACACUUAAUGGUGACAUUACACUGAUGUAGUAUUGUUUGUUUUAUUUAUUAACUGCAGCAUAUUGUUCUGAAAUUAUGCUGCUAAUGCUUUCUGUUUCUUUUACAUUUAUAGUUUAAGCUGCUGU
Molecule: long non-coding RNA, 1333 nt
Organism: Clupea harengus (Atlantic herring)
Lineage: Eukaryota; Metazoa; Chordata; Actinopteri; Clupeiformes; Clupeidae
Source: Ensembl